RNAcentral lists this ribosomal RNA (242 nucleotides) under uncultured Lactobacillus sp. RNAcentral describes it as "partial 16S ribosomal RNA". It matches the Rfam family "Bacterial small subunit ribosomal RNA", at positions 122 to 355 of the family's 1533-position model. The record is from RNAcentral. Lineage: Bacteria; Bacillati; Bacillota; Bacilli; Lactobacillales; Lactobacillaceae.
UAACCUGCCCAAGAGAUCGGGAUAACACCUGGAAACAGAUGCUAAUACCGGAUAACAACAGAUGAUGCCUAUCAACUGUUUAAAAGAUGGUUCUGCUAUCACUCUUGGAUGGACCUGCGGUGCAUUAGCUAGUUGGUAGGGUAACGGCCUACCAAGGCGAUGAUGCAUAGCCGAGUUGAGAGACUGAUCGGCCCACAUUGGGACUGAGACACGGCCCAAACUCCUACGGGAGGCAGCAGCCC